RNAcentral lists this long non-coding RNA (335 nucleotides) under Lathyrus oleraceus (garden pea). Its description in RNAcentral is "Pisum sativum (pea) long non-coding RNA (PSAT_LNC028397)". The record is from RNAcentral. Lineage: Eukaryota; Viridiplantae; Streptophyta; Magnoliopsida; Fabales; Fabaceae.
CCUUUUUGUUAUUGUUAGGAGUCGGGUGUAAGUCCAUGUAUUGGCAUUCUGUUUCCUUUUUUGUUAUUGUUAGGAGUCGGGUGUAAGUCCAUGUAUUGGCAUUCUGUUUCCUUUUGGGUGUUUCUUUUGACGUUUCAGCGUCCCUUUUUGGUGUCUUGUUUCAGGGUGCGUUAGCCGAGCUACGAGUGCUCUGAUUCUCCUCUGGAUAGAGAAGAUACGUAGGCAUAAGAUGCGAUGUCUUAUUGAGCAUGUCUCCCUUUCCCGAACUACGUUGACUCUGAUGUUUGUUUCUGACAAACUACGUAGGCCCAGGAUGUGACAUCCUGCCGAGUCCA